AACGAACGCUGGCGGCAGGCCUAACACAUGCAAGUCGAACGCCCCGCAAGGGGAGUGGCAGACGGGUGAGUAACGCGUGGGAACCUACCUUUCGGUGCGGAAUAACUCCGGGAAACCGGAGCUAACACCGCAUACGCCCUUCGGGGGAAAGAUUUAUCGCCGAUAGAUGGGCCCGCGUCGGAUUAGCUUGUUGGUGAGGUAACGGCUCACCAAGGCGACGAUCCGUAGCUGGUCUGAGAGGAUGAUCAGCCACACUGGGACUGAGACACGGCCCAGACUCCUACGGGAGGCAGCAGUGGGGAAUAUUGGACAAUGGGCGCAAGCCUGAUCCAGCCAUGCCGCGUGAGUGAAGAAGGCCUUAGGGUUGUAAGGCUCUUUUAGUGGGGACGAUAAUGACGGUACCCACAGAAUAAGCCCCGGCUAACUUCGUGCCAGCCGCCGCCGUAA
Molecule: ribosomal RNA, 447 nt
Filed under: uncultured bacterium
Lineage: Bacteria
Description: partial 16S ribosomal RNA
Rfam family: Bacterial small subunit ribosomal RNA
Source: RNAcentral